AUUUCCUUCAUGACUUAGGUGAUGCCAUCUUGAUUCGAAAAUAGUGUCGCAUGAGUUGUGUGAUACGGAGGAUUAUUGUGUUUAUAUUUUAUACAGAGAUAGCUUUUUGCGUUAUUGUAAUUUGAACAGAAAGGGACGCUUUUGAGGGUCGUUCUUGGUCAGAGUUUUGUUGAGUGGUUCAUUCAUUCACAUUUCUUUUCUGGACGAGGAGCUGCUGGCGGUGCUAACAAAGGAAUAACUGGACCCGAGCAGUUGUUUAUUGCUCGACUGAGGAAAGAUGGCCGAGAUGUACAUUCGAGUUGCGGAGGAGGAGAAUGAGGAGCCGAUGGAGAUCCCGUCAGAGGAUGAUGGCACGGUUUUGCUUUCCACAGUGUCCGCUCAGUUUCCAGGGGCUUGUGGUCUGCGCUUCCGGAGCCCAGUGUCUCAGUGCAUGAGGGGGGUUCGUCUGGUGGACGGCAUUCUGCAUGCACCUGAGAACGGCUGGGGAAACCUAGUCUAUGUGGUUAAUUACCCAAAAGAAACUGUUCUGCCAGAUAAUAAGAGGAAGAUGGAUGAGAUCGAUGCUUCAUCUGCGACCAAGAUCAAGAGAGGAGAUCAGAAGACUUCAGAUCUGAUUGUGCUGGGUCUGCCAUGGAAGACUUCAGAGCAAGACUUAAAAGACUACUUCGGUACAUUUGGGGAAGUCAUCAUGGUGCAGGUCAAGCGGGAUGUGAAGACAGGAAAUUCAAAAGGGUUUGGCUUUGUGAGGUUUGGAGACUGGGAGACUCAGAGUAAGGUGAUGACACAGCGGCACAUGAUUGAUGGCCGGUGGUGCGACUGCAAACUGCCCAACUCAAAGCAAGGUAUAGAUGAACCAAUGAGGAGCCGUAAAGUGUUUGUGGGCCGCUGCACAGAGGACAUGACUGCCGAUGAGCUCCGUCAGUUCUUCAUGCAGUACGGAGAGGUCACAGACGUCUUUAUUCCCAAACCGUUCAGAGCGUUUGCUUUUGUCACCUUUGCAGAUGACCAGGUUGCCGCCGCUUUGUGUGGAGAAGAUCUGAUCAUCAAGGGCGUCAGUGUGCAUAUCUCAAACGCUGAGCCCAAACACAAUAACACUAGGCAGAUGAUGGAGCGGGCAGGGCGCUUUGGGAAUGGGUUCGGAGGUCAGGGUUUUGCAGGCAGCCGAAGCAACAUGGGUGGUGGUGGUGGGGGUAGCUCCAGCAGCUUGGGAAAUUUUGGCAAUUUCAAUCUAAACCCGGCCAUGAUGGCUGCCGCCCAGGCUGCCUUGCAGAGUAGUUGGGGUAUGAUGGGAAUGCUAGCUCAGCAGAAUCAGUCGGGUACUUCAGGCACAAGCACAAGUGGCACCAGUUCCUCUCGAGACCAAGCCCAAACAUAUAGCUCGGCUAACAGCAAUUACGGCAGCAGCUCAGCUGCUCUCGGCUGGGGCACCGGCUCUAACUCGGGCGCUGCCAGUGCUGGCUUUAACUCCAGUUUUGGCUCUAGUAUGGAGUCCAAGUCAUCGGGGUGGGGUAUGUAAGUGCUUUGUGUUUGAAGUGUCGGUAUUCCUAGCGUGUUUUGGUAAGUAUUUUAUUUCGAGAGACUUAUCUCAUCACGUGUGUUUGGGAGUGGGGAUGGGUGAAAAGAGGGAGUCUGGGGACGAAACAAAGAAAAAAAGAAUGUUUUGUACACUGAAUGGGAUUUGAGUUAGUGUUUGAAGUGAGAUGUUAACAAGGGUGCUAUGUUAAUGUACCAUCUUUGAUGUUUAGUUUUUUUCUCCCCAAUGUUGUAUUGUCUUGACUGAUGCAAACAAAAGCAUUUCAACUGGAUUCUUAUAAUGCAUGUUCAAUCUGUGAAAAUGCAUGAGUUGCAUCAUUUAAUAGUACAAAUCAAGAAAAGAAACCUGCAUUGGAAAGAAUCUGGUUGAAACCUGAACAUGUAUAUUAUUGUAAGUUCAGCUUUAUUUCAGUCCAGUUGUUUGGAAAUCCUUUAAAACAAGCCUUCAUCAACAUCUCUUCUGCAGUUGACAUCUGUGGGGUUUGCCUGGGAAGAGCGCCCUCUAUGGCAGCACAGUGUGGCUGAGGUCAUUAUGUCACCUUCCUCCCCAUGUCUAAAUGCUCUCAUCGCACGGCUCGAUGACACGGGGCCUGGAAAAUGGCUGGCUGCAACUGAACCCCAGGCGGGAAGUCCGUUUGGGGAUGGAGGAAGAUGGAGGAUGCUGUGGUUCUGCACCUCUGGUAACAGCCACCGACACGGUAGACCGUAGCCGAAUCUGAUGGGUGAUUCACUAUAUGCAGUUUUCUCUGAUCGGUUUAAGCCUGAUGCAUUUCAAUCUGAAAUGUUGAAAUGGUUUCAGGCUUGAAUUGGUUUUGAGAAAAUGGCUCAUAUUCAAAUACAGGCAAAGGUUAAAGUUUUUACCAUGGUUUACUGGGUUUCUGGAGGAUUUGAAAGCCAUUUUAAGCUGUUUUAUACAAGUAACAUUUAAAAAUUAAAAAGUUUUAAGACCGCUUUCUACCAAUUUUAAACUAUUUAAAAUGAUUAUUUUACACGUAAUGAUUACAUUUUGAAUAUACCCACUCUCAAAAUUGAAAUACUGAAUUUUUUAUUAUAAUUUUAAAUGUUAAUCACAUUGCAAACAAAAAAAUCACCCAGUUUUUCCUACUUUGUUACAUUGCCAAUGUCUAAAGAAUCUUACAUCAAGAAUGAUUUGCUUGUGAAGAAUCUUACACUAACUACAAAAUCAGAAAGAAGCAAGAAUGAAAUUAUCAAAGUGAAGCCAUUGUGAUUUAAACCAACAUCUACCAGUUGGCUUAAGUCAAUUCAAAUGGAAAUACAUUUCCCCCACAGAUACCCUGCUAACAAUUCCCCUCUCAUUUUGUAUCUCACGUAAAUGCAUCUUGAUUUGAGAAUGUUUAGAUGAAUUGCUUUCAGUGCAUCUGUAAUUUAGUGCUGACUUCAUUAAAUUGAAACUUUCUGCUGAUUUAAGACUCUUUUAAAGCUUUAAUUGUUGAAUUGGGCAUAUUUAUACCUGGUACCCACAGAAACCCUGCUUUUUAAAUGUGUAAAAUAUAAACAUUUGAGAGAAUCUGUAUUGUUUCAUAGACAUUCAAUCAAGUCAUGUUUACAGGAUUUAUUAUAAUUGCAAUAAAGCACAAAUGAACUCA
This is a non-coding RNA of Danio rerio (zebrafish), 3140 nucleotides long. The record is from RefSeq and is a predicted model, not a curated record. Lineage: Eukaryota; Metazoa; Chordata; Actinopteri; Cypriniformes; Danionidae.